RNAcentral lists this ribosomal RNA (467 nucleotides) under uncultured Bacteroidota bacterium. Its description in RNAcentral is "bacterial SSU rRNA". It matches the Rfam family "Bacterial small subunit ribosomal RNA", at positions 40 to 504 of the family's 1533-position model. Lineage: Bacteria; Pseudomonadati; Bacteroidota. The record is from RNAcentral.
CGGCAGGCCUAAUACAUGCAAGUCGGACGGGAUUGGAGAGCUUGCUUUCCAUGAGAGUGGCGCACGGGUGCGUAACACGUAUGUAACCUACCUUCUUCAGGGGGAUAGCCUCUCGAAAGAGAGAUUAAGACCGCAUAAUAUUGUAAUGUGGCAUCACAAAACAAUCAAAUAUUUAUAGGAAGAAGAUGGGCAUGCGGAACAUUAGCUAGUUGGUAAGGUAAUGGCUUACCAAGGCUACGAUGUUUAGGGGAUCUGAGAGGAUGGCCCCCCACACUGGUACUGAGACACGGACCAGACUCCUACGGGAGGCAGCAGUAAGGAAUAUUGGUCAAUGGACGGAAGUCUGAACCAGCCAUGCCGCGUGCAGGAAGACGGCCCUACGGGUUGUAAACUGCUUUUGCAGGGGAAUAAACCCCGAUACGUGUAUCGGGCUGAAUGUACUCUGAGAAUAAGGAUCGGCUAACUCC